CAGAUGCUAUUCAGUACAACCUUGAUGUGCACCUUGACUUACAUGGAUAAUCUUGUACGUAAUUCCCUCUUUUAUUGAUGUGUGGUUUCAUCUGUGUGAUUAAUUCCAUCUCUUUUUACUUUUUCAUGUUAGGUACUACAUGUACUUUUUGUGAUUUCAAGGGUAAAUUACUAGCCAAUUUUGGUACUAGCCAAAUCAAAGAUUUAUGUCCUAAAAAAGAUUUGCUCAGCUUCAUGCAAUUGAAUUGUUAUCGCAUAUUUACGAGCAAGCUCAUAUUUAUAUCUCCAUGAUCUCUUAACAGCGAGAAAAGGAAAGAUAACGUGAACAUCCAGUGAGCACUACUGAUGCCAUCAUGGAAAACUCACUGCUCUUGUUUAAUUUUGUUUAUGUAGUCAACAUUUUGAUCAAAGGAUUCUCACGUGUUAGAAAACUGUACUCACAUAAAUCUGAGUAUUGGUCUAUGGAACUGGAGGUAGUGAGUUUCAGUUCUUAUGAAUUAAUGUUUCUUUAUUUAUUUAGAGCUUCUAUUCAGAUCAUUGACGUUUGCAUAUCCCUGUUUGUAGUAUCAUUUUGUGUCUCAUGUUAUGACUGACAUUUUUUUUCUCUACAACCUGUAAAUUUCGGAUUCAGUUUACUGAUCUCUGAAAGUCAUGUAUAACUUGGCAGAAAUGUUAUCCCUACAAAUUAGAACACCCUUAUUCUUGCUAGGUGGAUUACUACUUCCUUGGAUGUUUUCAUAAAAUAAGUGAAAUGUGCAGACCGACAACAUGGACGGCAGGUCUUGCGGCUCUCAGCGCCCUCAACCCCCCACUGACCUCAAUUUUGAUCUCUCCUCUACUCUUCUGGUGAGUGGGAGCAGCAUGUGGAUAUAUUGAACUAUAUAUUAGCUUUUGAUUGGUUCCCAUGAAGUACUUUGGAAUUCAUUAUAUAGUUGUGUCAGUGAAGAUGUCGUAGAUUUGUUAAUAUAGAGAACACAAAAUUUUCAUCUAUAUCUGUUGACCUUGUGUGCCAUAGGUAAACAUAUUUUCCUAUCUAUUUCUAUUCUUCAGCCUCUUUAUAUUUCAGGGUGGUGGUGAGAGCGGGUGUGAACCGGGAAAGGCGGCCAUAGGAGAUAUAUGAUAGGAAAAGAAUUGCUCUAUGGCGCAAAGGGCGAGAGGGAGCCAACUAUGAUAGGAAAAGAGGAUGCAUGUAGGUAAUCGCAGGGUGGAUGCUUAAUGUUGCUUAUUCAGCAGGGGCUAUCAACCUGUGAUUAUCUACAUGGUAUAUCUAGCCCAUCAAGGUCCUGCACAUGGUAUAUAUAGCCCAUCAAGGUCCUCCAUGGCCAUCGACUUGCUUUCUGCUCGGGCAGGAUUAGAUGCAACCUCCUGUUUGUGAUGCAGUGCCCCAAAAGGCUCGGAUGCAGGUGCAAGUCAACAAUGCCAGUAGUGAGUCGAGAGAAGUGGAGAAGAGGGUCCCUCCAGGCUCCAUACAUGAAUGGUGUAUGUCGAAUGUCUUGGGUAAACUUUUGCUUUUCCUUCAUUUCUUUAUCUUCGAGUCAACAAUGCGAGUAGUGAGUCGAGAGAAGUGGAGAAGAGGGUCCCUCCAGGCUCCAUACAUGAAUGGUGUAUGUCGAAUGUCUCGGAUAACUACUUCAGGUUAGGCGGGAGAAAUAAAAAGGGUAACCAUAGAUAUAUGGUCUAGCAUCACGAGGUUCAGGUUCCUGUUAUUGAUCAACCAUUGCUUUGCUCGACGUGGGUUAUGCUUGAUUAUGUUCUUCUUUGUAUUUUUGUUCAUGGCCUACACCGGUGUUAUCAUCUAUUUUGUUUCAAAAUUUUCAAUGGCUUAUUUUCAUGUCCCAAUACCACUUGAAAUACAACUAAGUACCUUCUGACAGGACAAUAAUGUAUGUAUUUACCUAUGGUUAUUGUUUCCUAAAAGAAACUUGAUCAUCUCACCUUGGUUUCCCCUGUAUCUGACUUGGGACAGGUUUAUGUGAGAUUUGUUUUCCAUUUUCUGUUUGUGUGGAUGCUUAAGCUUAAGCUUUUGUUAUUUGUUAGAGAUUAAAGAAGACUGAAAUAUGGGCUCAAGCGAUUGCUAUGUCUGACCUACACAAGAAUGCCAAGAAGUCCUCGGAGACGUAAGCCACGGCGCAUGUUUCUGCCAUGAUUUCCUUCGGUUGGAUUUUGUGGAUUUAGGUUUUGAAAAAUUAUGGGCUGUGGAUGCAGAAUGAAGGACAUGUACCUGCACUACAACGAGAGAUCUGGGCUGCUUCUUUGUGGCUUUCAAACUUGAAGUGUUUGUUUGGAAGUUAGUUUAGUUUUUUGUUUUGGAUUCACAGCUUCUCACAUGUACCAUCCUCUUAGACCUUUAGAUUUCCAAAGAAACUAAAUGAAGAUAUGGUGGUAUGGUCUCAAUAGUACAACUUAAAUCGUUCCAUGCUUUAUAUUUGCUAUCAAAUUUGCUCUUCAAGAAUCAUGUAUCUACGUUAGAUCCGGUGAGCUUUAUAUUUGCUCUGAAAUUUGUUCUUGAAGAAUCAUGUAUCUGUAUUAGAUCCGGUGAGAAAAUGCAUCUUACAAGCAGAGGAUGCGGGAGUGUUGGCCA
This 2580-nucleotide ribosomal RNA is filed under the name Triticum aestivum (bread wheat). Its description in RNAcentral is "partial small subunit ribosomal RNA". Lineage: Eukaryota; Viridiplantae; Streptophyta; Magnoliopsida; Poales; Poaceae. The record is from RNAcentral.